RNAcentral lists this ribosomal RNA (860 nucleotides) under delta proteobacterium SCGC AAA008-N17. Its description in RNAcentral is "SSU rRNA". It matches the Rfam family "Bacterial small subunit ribosomal RNA", at positions 33 to 912 of the family's 1533-position model. Lineage: Bacteria; Deltaproteobacteria. The record is from RNAcentral.
ACGCUGGCGGCAUGCCUAACACAUGCAAGUCGAACGAGAAAGUUCCUUCGGGAGCGAUUAAAGUGGCGCACGGGUGAGUAACGCGUAGACAAUCUGCCCUUCAGUCUGGGACAACUUUUCGAAAGGAGAGCUAAUACCGGAUAACAAUGUUUAACCUAAGUUAAAUAUUUGAAAGCUUUAUGUGCUGAAGGAGGGGUCUGCGUCCCAUUAGCUAGUUGGUAAGGUAAAGGCUUACCAAGGCGACGAUGGGUAGCGGGUUUGAGAGGACGAUCCGCCACACUGGAACUGAGACACGGUCCAGACUCCUACGGGAGGCAGCAGUGGGGAAUAUUGCACAAUGGAGGCAACUCUGAUGCAGCAAUGUCGCGUGAGUGAAGAAGGCCUUUGGGUCGUAAAGCUCUUUUAUGGGGGAAGAUGAUGACGGUACCCCAAGAAUAAGCACCGGCUAACUAUGUGCCAGCAGCCGCGGUAAUACAUAGGGUGCGAGCGUUGUUCGGAAUUACUGGGCGUAAAGGGCGCGCAGGCGGAAUAGUAAGUCGGAGGUGAAAGCCCGGGGCUCAACCCCGGAGGGUCUUUCGAAACUGCUAAUCUAGAGAGGGUCAGGGGCCGGCAGAAUUCCUGGUGUAGAGGUGAAAUUCGUAGAUAUCAGGAGGAAUACCGGUGGCGAAGGCGGCCGGCUGGGGCCACUCUGACGCUGAGGCGCGAAAGCGUGGGGAGCAAACAGGAUUAGAUACCCUGGUAGUCCACGCCGUAAACGAUGAGCACUGGACGUCCGGAGGGUUCGACCCUUCUGGGUGUUUCAGCUAACGCAUUAAGUGCUCCGCCUGGGGAGUACGGUCGCAAGACUACUAAUUGAUACG